CUCUCUUUCAGUUCCCCUCAGAAACAGUUUACCCUUCAAUGCUUAGGUCAUGUCUCCCUCCCAGCCCCCCCGGGUAUAAAACCCAGGGAGGUCUGAUUUCCGGGUUCCUCAGCUGUAUUGAAGCUGUGGCACCAGAGACAAGAUUCCAUUAUGCCCUGGAAGCUUUCAUGAACCUUGAGGAAGGAGCUCACAAUGAACCCCUGGCUUCUGUUUUCUCUUGCUGCCAUCUGAAGAGCAAAUGGACUAAGUACUCUGGACCCAAUCCUAGAUAUAAAGAAGAUAAUCCUCCCUUUCCUUUGAACAUAACUAAUGAACAUCAGUGUGUAAACUAUUCAGAGAAUUCAAAGAUCCAGAAUUCUUCAAUCGCUUCUCGGCCUUUUGGCUAAGAUCAAGUGCAGAAUUCUUCAUCCUGCAAAUUGUCCUUCAGACCUUGUAAGAAAUGGAAAAGAGCUUUUUCAGGGAGAUGGAAAACAUGGUCAGAAAGUUGGAAACACAUAAAUAAUGGAAGAGAACUAAAGAAGGAAUAAGUGAAGGUGCACCCAUUGUAACAAAUACUCCACUGUGGGUGAUGCAGGAUGCCAUAUUUGGAGAGUCCAUGCAGCAUGAGGAAAAUCUGUGUACCUUCUGCUCAGUUUUGCUGCAAACAUAAAAUUACUGUAAAAAUAAAUAUUUUCUUAAAAUGAAGCUAAUAGUACUUAUUCUUUACAUGGCUGUAAGAAUUAGAACUAACAGAAAAUAUGUCAAGCUGACACAUCAUGGCUGCUUUCUAAGUAUGGG
This 777-nucleotide long non-coding RNA is filed under the name Heterocephalus glaber (naked mole-rat). RNAcentral's name for it is "lncRNA (ENSHGLG00000033041.1)". The record is from RNAcentral. Lineage: Eukaryota; Metazoa; Chordata; Mammalia; Rodentia; Bathyergidae.